GCUGAGCCAUGUAACGUGGGCUUGUAACCAAAGUUGGUGCAACAAUGUGGUGGGUUGUUAGGCUGUUCCAGAUGGCUGGACUUUGGUUGGCAUUAGUCUUGCUUGCCCUAUCCAAGCACAGAGUUGAGUCACGUGAUUCAGACGAAAGUAUGGGCUGCUUGGCUACCAGAGUAACGAAUAGCUUUCGCUCUGUGCAGUGCAAGGAUAACGAGCUAGUGCUCUCCAACUUCAACAAAAACCUGAUGGGCUCCUUAAUUAAACCAUCAUUUUU
Molecule: non-coding RNA, 271 nt
Organism: Solanum lycopersicum (tomato)
Lineage: Eukaryota; Viridiplantae; Streptophyta; Magnoliopsida; Solanales; Solanaceae
Source: Rfam